GUUAACAUUUGACUGAGUGAUCACAAAGCAUCAAGUAUAUGCAUUACCUCAUUUAAAUCUUAAAAUUAUGCCAUCAAGCCGGCCCCAUGGCGUAGUGGUUUAAGUUCGGCACACUCUGCUUCAGCAGCCCGGGUUUAGGGGUUCCAAUCCUGAGCAUGUACCUACACCACUCAUCAGCCAUGCUGUAGUGGCAAUCCACAUAUAAAGUGGAGGAAAACUGGCACAGAUGAUAGCUCAGGGCUAAUCUUCCUCAGCAAGAAAAAAAAAAAUUAUGCCAUGAAGUAGACAUCACGUUUAUUUCCACUAUACACUGAGAAAAAUGAGGCUUAGAGAUGUUAAAUAAUGUCGAUUAGUAGAGCCAGGAUGAGCCCAGUCCUGAGUCCAUCAACAGGCACUUUAACCACUAUGCUUCCCAAAGAGAGGCCACAGUACCCAAACCAGGUAAGUCACCUAGUCGUAUUUUCCUGACUAGCAUUGAAGCUGAGCAAUUCCUUUCCUGUAUAAAUGCCACUCCAAAUCGAGAGCAUACCCACAUUUGUUGACGAUUUGCCAUGAAUCUAGCAGCACUUUUUCACAGCACAGGAAAAAAUUAACAACUUGUUAGAGCUCAUUCAAAAUAUGUAAUGGUGCAAAUUAUAUUUAGAAUAAUUAGUCACACAAGACCAAAGGCUACACGACCUUAACCUGCUUCUCAUUUUCAAGAUCUCCCUUUAAAUAUAAUUAUCUCUUUUCAGGAAAAAAGGACCUGUGAAGAACGUUUAGAUUUUAUGCAUGCUGAAAAUCAGCCUCGGUUAUCCUCUGCUGUAACUGUCUGUUAAGGGCAAGUUCUCACUUUCCCGUCACGACCAGGCAUGUUCAGGGCCAAUCUUCCUCACCAAAAAAGAAAAAAGAAUGAAACAAGCUUCUUUUAAGAAACAUCAAAUCUUGUUAGUUUUUGUGCAACUGAUUUUGUCUUUUUCACAUGCUAUUAGUAAGCUGCUUUUCCAAUUUUCUAUAAUUUUCUCUUUGAUUUUACUAAAAGUAUAAGAACUUGCUUACAAUUUAAAACAUAAGCUGUAUGAAAGCGGGAAUUUUUUUGCCUUUUGUUUGCUGAUGUGUCUGUAGCAAUCAGAGAAGUGUCUGCCACAUGGUAGCUCAAAAAUACUGCUGAAUUAAUUGAACAAAUGUAAUGCAAUUCAGUGCUAAUUUCCAAAGAAAUUAAAGUGCAUGCAUACACGGUAGUGCACGCUAGAUACAGUGCCGGGUGAGUUACGUACACUACCUCCUAUAAGUAUUACAAAAUCUUCAGAAGAAGGUAACUUUUAGAAAAAAAAUAUAUACAGUACUCCAUGUUAUAUAACUUCCAGAGUCAUUUUAUAAUAGCUGAAAUAAUAAAUAAUUAUAAUAGCUGCCAUUUAGGGCCAGCCCCGUGGCCGAGUGGUUGGGUUCUCAAGCUCCGCUUUGGCAGCCCAGGGUUUCCCCCAUUCAGAUCCUGGGCACCGACAUGGCACCGCUCGUUGAGCCAUGCUGAGGCGGUGUCCCACAUGCCACAACCAGAAGGAGCCACAACUAAAAAUAUACAACUAUGUACAAGGGGGCUUUGGGGUGAAAAAGGAAAAAUAAAAUCUUAAAAAAAAAAUAGCUGCCAUUUAUGGAGUAUUCCAAACUACAAGUUUUGCUUGGUAUCUAUACAGUAAACAUACCAAGAAGGCAUUAUCCUUAUUUUAAAGAUGAGGAAAUCAAGACACAGUGAAUAAGAGUUAGAUCCCGGGCCGGCCCAGUGGCGCAGCGGUUAAGUUCGCACAUUCUGCUUCUCAGUGCCUGGGGUUCGCCGGUUCAGAUCCUGGGUGUGGACAUGGCACCACUUGACAAAAGCCAUGUUGUGGUAGGCGUCCCACAUAUAAAGUAGAGGAAGAUGGGCAUGAAUGUGAGCUCAGGGCCAGUCUUCCUCAGCAAAAAGAGGAGGAUUGGCAGUAGUUAGCUCAGUGCUAAUCUUCCUCAAAAAAAAAAAAAAGAGUUAGAUCCAGUGACCAAUAAAUAACCUAUCGUUCAUUGCCUGGCAUCAGUCUAGCACUUUCUGACUCCCUCAGUCCCUCAGGGCUCUUCCUCUGCUGUAACAAUCUCUUCUCUUGUCUCUCCUCAAGUCUGUAUGAGAGCCAGGAACGGAGAGGAACUUAUCGAAUAUUUUCAAAUGAAAAGAUAGUCUCCUCCAGUAGGCAAGAAUCCCAAACAGCUAAGAUUAUGAUCUCUGUCGUUCUAGCGGAAUCAGAAGAUCAUUCAAGAGUGCUCAGGACUUCCCCAAAUAUCAGGAGGCUUACAGAAUAAAAGGGGUC
This 2312-nucleotide long non-coding RNA is filed under the name Equus caballus (horse). RNAcentral describes it as "lncRNA (ENSECAG00000045991.1)". The record is from RNAcentral. Lineage: Eukaryota; Metazoa; Chordata; Mammalia; Perissodactyla; Equidae.